Long non-coding RNA from Ostrea edulis (European flat oyster), 1534 nucleotides. RefSeq lists it as uncharacterized. The record is from RefSeq and is a predicted model, not a curated record. The transcript has 2 exons. Lineage: Eukaryota; Metazoa; Mollusca; Bivalvia; Ostreida; Ostreidae.
AAAUCGCUAUCCCAAACUUCCACCAGAGUUCGUUUGCUCACAAACCAAACUCUUCCACUUAGGCAUUAUGGGAUAGCGAUUUCUUAGGCCGCGUAUACUGUGACGUCACUGUAGAAUGACGAAAAAACAUAACGUCAAACGUAACCAACUUUCAAAACAAGAACGUAAACAUCAAAUUCAUUACUUUACACAAUAAUUUGAACAGAGUAUUCCUACUUUUUAAUGAUCUUUUGAUCAUUUUAUGUUUAAAAUAAAAUCCAUACUUUUAUAUUAAUGCUUUUAAUAUUAAUAUCUUCAGACUUUUAACUGCGAACUACUUCUUUAGUGUAAUUUGUCUGCGUGAUAAUCGCGGACUCACAAUAUACAGAUCUGUAUAUUGUGGUGCGUCACAUAGGAGAGGUCUAUUCGUAGGCACUGUGACGUAAUGAGGCCUCGACGAGGAGUUUGAUCGCUAUCCAAUUCACGCUUCCACUGGCGUCAGGGGAGGUGCGGUUAUCAUCUCCGCACAGCCAAUCAGAAUCGCGGAAGAAUUGUCCGCCAUUACCUCCGUCAAAACUUUUGAUGACGGAGGUUUUGAGGUACAGAUGUUUUAGCCUGAUUACUUCGAGUUCUCAUAAAAUUGGUGGAAUUGUGUGCAUCGGGGAAAUGCAACAGUGAUUCACGUUACCCAGAAAGGAUACUAGAAGUAAUGUUUAUCCCAUUUCCAAACCCAAAAUCACAUAAAGAUUAAUGUUUACGUUGGAUAAAGGCGUGCGGUAGGCCCCACAGUAAGAGCAGAAUGGACCGGCACACAAAAUUCAUUGGAUAUACUUGUAACAGCAGCACAAGUCAGAAUUUACAAGACCAGUUAACAGCAGCAGAAAAUGCCUUUCAUCAACAGAGCAUACUUAAUCAUCACCUGCAACUCCAGUUAUCAAUGGAAGCCCAAGAUUAACCCCACCAACAGGCCACCCCUUUUGACAUUAACAGUACUCUACAGCAAGAGAGAAAAAAACAGGGUUGUUUUUAUAUUAUAUCAAUUUGAGACAUGCCACAUUUUGUUCUUUGUUAGAGUUUUUUUUUAUAUACAUCUGAGCAAAUUCCCCAGUGUUUUAAAAAAGGAGGGACAUAACAAAUAUGACAAAACAAUCGCAGUUGUUAUUAACACUGAUGAGGCUGCGACAUAAUUUUGAAAUCAAGGACUUGGCAUCAAGAUUUUGUAUUUCAACACAGUGUAUCAGUGAUGUAUUCUGUGCCUGAAUUGACCUUAUGUUGUGUUAGGUUGUGUUUCAAUAUAGUCCUAUAGGAAUGAUAUUAACAACAUGACAACUGAAUAAAAGCUCAAUUCCCAACAACCAUCGCUAUCAUUGAUUGUGCAGAACGGAAAUCACAGAAACCAUCUUUAAAACUGCAGUUACAAAUUAUACAUUCUGACUACAGAUCAGCUACAACCUAAAGGGGACUUGUGGAUUGUGAUCCUUUAGGGGACACAAUGGAAACUAGCUGUAUGCUAAUUUGUGUUAUCUUGGAUAAAUAAAGGCUAUUAUUAUUAUCA